UGGCUUGGGUCUCCUUUCUGCCUUUGUAACGUCAUUGGUUAUUAACUAUGUAGGGCUUAUUCAAAUCCAUGCUUACAUUAUAGCUACUUCCUGUGCUCCCAACACGGAAGGAUGCAUGUUUUAGGGGCCGAACUUGGUCUUGUCAUGAGAAGCCAUUUGGGAUGACCAACUGGUCCUGGGAAUCCUGGUUCUGACUCAUUUCUACACUGCUCUCAGAGAUGAAAAUGUGUUUAGACACAGAAAAUAGGCCAUAAAUCUAUAACAUUCAUAGCAUAUAAAUGUUCUUGAGAUGUGGCAUCAUCUCAAGUAGGGUAGUGGGCCUUUAAUGGUGAAAUGGCAAGGAACUUCCACAU
This 353-nucleotide long non-coding RNA is filed under the name Bos taurus (domestic cattle). RNAcentral describes it as "long non-coding RNA NONBTAT015124". Lineage: Eukaryota; Metazoa; Chordata; Mammalia; Artiodactyla; Bovidae. The record is from RNAcentral.